Vicugna pacos (alpaca) is the source of this 817-nucleotide non-coding RNA. Lineage: Eukaryota; Metazoa; Chordata; Mammalia; Artiodactyla; Camelidae. The record is from RefSeq and is a predicted model, not a curated record.
AGAUAAAGUCGCUGGGCCAGGUAAGCAGAUGCUGCUGGCAGGAGAGUAGUGGCCCUGCCUGGGGAUCCUGCUGGUCUUUUUUGUGGGGCUUCCCACCUCAAAUGUGUCAACCUGGGGCCUGCAGGAGACGAGCUGGAGAGACAAGACGGCCUCACGGUCACGGUCAUCUCACUCUGCGGGAGAUGGUGGAAAGGAACUAGACUGGCUGGGAGCCAUUCUGCAGGCAUCCCUGUCAAGAUGGAAUACACCAGACUUUGGCAAGGGCAGUAAUGCUAUCACCCCAGCAGGAAGAGCCUUGGACCGGCAGCAAACAAGGGAGACAUCCUCCCAGGCUGGGCAACGGUGGCCAUGUUCAGCCAUGGAAAUGUGUUCUCUGGAAAGAGUGGGCACCAGCUACUUGGCAGGAGCAGCGAAAGUUCUUCCGUUGGCCAGAAGGAUUGAGGUACCAAAGGCAUUAAUAACUUCCAUUAACUGAAGAAUCAAGAGGUAUCCUUCCUAUGCAUGUGUACAAAUAAGGAAAGUACAGUACAAAGAAAUACUUGCCCUCUCUGAACAUGUUGGAAGACACCAAUGGCACCUGCCCUAGUUUGCCAGCAUCGUCACCUGCUGGGAAGGGCUGUCCUCCACAACAAACACCUUGUCUACAGAACUAUAUAAUACAGCGUGGCAGCCACAAGUACUUAUAUGACCUUAGACUAACUUGUCCCAUACCAGUCUAAUUAUCUCCUGGCCAGUAGGACAUAUAUCAUCACUGGCAACCCCUAAGUUGGCUGUUAGAUUGUCGCCAGUAGGAAAAAAUAAAAGCUACCCAUAUGUA